UAACUUUGGUUGGUCGCCGGCUUCUUAGAGAGACUAUCAACUCAAGUUGAUGGAAGUUUGAGGCAAUAACAGGUCUGUGAUGCCCUUAGAUGUUCUGGGCCGCACGCGCGCUACACUGACAGAGCCAACGAGUUCUUCACCUUGUUCGAAAGAAUUGGGUAAUCUUGUUAAACUCUGUCGUGCUGGGGAUAAAGCAUUGCAAUUAUUGCUUUUCAACGAGGAAUGCCUAGUAAGCGCGUGUCAUCAGCAUGCGUUGAUUACGUCCCUGACCUUUGUACACACCGCCCGUCGCUACUACCGAUUGAAUGGCUC
RNAcentral lists this ribosomal RNA (312 nucleotides) under uncultured fungus. RNAcentral's name for it is "SSU rRNA". It matches the Rfam family "Eukaryotic small subunit ribosomal RNA", at positions 1387 to 1699 of the family's 1831-position model. The record is from RNAcentral. Lineage: Eukaryota; Fungi.